Molecule: long non-coding RNA, 637 nt
Organism: Gymnodraco acuticeps
Lineage: Eukaryota; Metazoa; Chordata; Actinopteri; Perciformes; Bathydraconidae
Exons: 2
Source: RefSeq, a predicted model, not a curated record
UGAGAUAUUAGUGUGGUGGCAGCUCAUAGAGAACUUCUACAGGUAACACACCUGAGAUAUUAGUGUGGUGGCAGCUCAUAGAGAACUUCUACAGGUAACACACCUGAGAUAUUAGUGUGGUGGCAGCUCAUAGAGAACUUCUACAGGUAACACACCUGAGAUAUUAGUGUGGUGGCAGCUCAGAGAACUUCUACAGGUAACACACCUGAGAUAUUAGUGUGGUGGCAGCUCAGAGAACUUCUACAGGUAACACACCUGAGAUAUUAGUGUGGUGGCAGCUCAUAGAGAACUUCUACAGGUAACACACCUGAGAUAUUAGUGUGGUGGCAGCUCAGAGAACUUCUACAGGUAACACACCUGAGAUAUUAGUGUGGUGGCAGCUCAGAGAACUUCUACAGGUAACACACCUGAGAUAUUAGUGUGGUGGCAGCUCAUAGAGAACUUCUACAGGUAACACACCUGAGAUAUUAGUGUGGUGGCAGCUCACAGAGAACUUCUACAGGUAACACACCUGAGAUAUUAGUGUGGUGGCAGCUCAGAGAACUUCUACAGGUAACACACCUGAGAUAUUAGUGUGGUGGCAGCUCAUAGAGAACUUCUACAGGUAACACACCUGAGAUAUUAGUGUGGUGGCAGC